UACGGAGGGUGCAAGCGUUAAUCGGAAUUACUGGGCGUAAAGCGCACGCAGGUGGCUGAGUCAGUCGAUUGUGAAAGCCCUGGGCUUAACCUGGGAAUUGCAGUCGAUACUACUUAGCUAGAGUAUGGGAGAGGGCAGUGGAAUUCCCGGUGUAGCGGUGAAAUGCGUAGAUAUCGGGAGGAACAUCAGUGGCGAAGGCGGCUGCCUGGCCCAAUACUGACACUCAGGUGCGAAAGCGUGGGGAGCAAACAGG
RNAcentral lists this ribosomal RNA (253 nucleotides) under uncultured bacterium. RNAcentral's name for it is "partial 16S ribosomal RNA". It matches the Rfam family "Bacterial small subunit ribosomal RNA", at positions 524 to 776 of the family's 1533-position model. The record is from RNAcentral.